This 101-nucleotide ribosomal RNA is filed under the name Staphylococcus epidermidis. Its description in RNAcentral is "partial 16S ribosomal RNA". It matches the Rfam family "Bacterial small subunit ribosomal RNA", at positions 1433 to 1533 of the family's 1533-position model. RNAcentral also lists the same sequence under 1 other name. Lineage: Bacteria; Bacillati; Bacillota; Bacilli; Caryophanales; Staphylococcaceae. The record is from RNAcentral.
GAGUAACCAUUUGGAGCUAGCCGUCGAAGGUGGGACAAAUGAUUGGGGUGAAGUCGUAACAAGGUAGCCGUAUCGGAAGGUGCGGCUGGAUCACCUCCUUU